UGCAUAUCAAAAAGCGGAGGAAAAGAAACCAACAGGGAUUGCCCUAGUAACGGCGAGUGAAGCGGCAACAGCUCAAAUUUGAAAUCUGGCUCUCGGGCCCGAGUUGUAAUUUGUAGAGGAUACUUUUGAUGCGGUGCCUUCCGAGUUCCCUGGAACGGGACGCCAUAGAGGGUGAGAGCCCCGUCUGGUUGGAUGCCAAAUCUCUGUAAAGUUCCUUCAACGAGUCGAGUAGUUUGGGAAUGCUGCUCUAAAUGGGAGGUAUAUGUCUUCUAAAGCUAAAUACCGGCCAGAGACCGAUAGCGCACAAGUAGAGUGAUCGAAAGAUGAAAAGCACUUUGAAAAGAGAGUUAAAAAGUACGUGAAAUUGUUGAAAGGGAAGCGUUUAUGACCAGACUUGGGCUUGGUUAAUCAUCUGGGGUUCUCCCCAGUGCACUUUUCCAGUCCAGGCCAGCAUCAGUUUUCCCCGGGGGAUAAAGGCGGCGGGAAUGUGGCUCUCUUCGGGGAGUGUUAUAGCCCACCGUGUAAUACCCUGGGGGGGACUGAGGUUCGCGCAUCUGCAAGGAUGCUGGCGUAAUGGUCAUCAACGACCCGUCUUGAACACGGACCA
This 607-nucleotide ribosomal RNA is filed under the name Fusarium oxysporum. RNAcentral describes it as "partial large subunit ribosomal RNA". It matches the Rfam family "Eukaryotic large subunit ribosomal RNA", at positions 37 to 668 of the family's 3401-position model. Lineage: Eukaryota; Fungi; Ascomycota; Sordariomycetes; Hypocreales; Nectriaceae. The record is from RNAcentral.